Molecule: ribosomal RNA, 443 nt
Filed under: uncultured bacterium
Lineage: Bacteria
Description: partial 16S ribosomal RNA
Rfam family: Bacterial small subunit ribosomal RNA
Source: RNAcentral
CCUACGGGAGGCUGCAGUGGGGAAUAUUGGACAAUGGGGGGAACCCUGAUCCAGCGACGCCGCGUGAGUGAAGAAGUAUUUCGGUAUGUAAAGCUCUAUCAGCAGGGAAGCAAGAACUGACGGUACCUGACUAAGAAGCCCCGGCUAACUACGUGCAAGCAGCCGCGGUAAUACGGAGGGGGCAAGCGUUAUCCGGAUUUACUGGGUGUAAAGGGAGCGUAGACGGGGAUACAAGUCUGAAGUGAAAGGCGGGGGCCCAACCCCCGGACUGCUUUGGAAACUGGAUGGCUGGAGUGCAGGAGAGGUAAGUGGAAUGCCUAGUGUAGCGGUGAAAUGCGUAGAUAUUAGGAGGAACACCAGUGGCGAAGGCGGCGUACUGGACUGUAACUGACGUUGAGGCUCGAAAGCGUGGGGAGCAAACAGGAUUAGAUACCCCAGUAGUC